CUGGCAUCGAUGAAGAACGCAGCGAAAUGCGAUAAGUAAUGUGAAUUGCAGAAUUCAGUGAAUCAUCGAAUCUUUGAACGCACAUUGCGCCCGCCAGUAUUCUGGCGGGCAUGCCUGUUCGAGCGUCAUUUCAACCCUCAAGCCCCAGUGGCCUGGUGUUGGGGACCGGCGACCUCGCCCGGGGGAACACCCCCGGCGCGUCCGCCGCCCCCGAAAUGAAUUGGCGGCCCCGUCGCGGCCUCCUCUGCGUAGUAGCACAACCUCGCAGCGGGAGCGCGACGCGGCCACUGCCGUAAAACGCCCAACUUUUUUUAGAGUUGACCUCGGAUCAGGUAGGAAUACCCGCUGAACUUAA
Molecule: small RNA, 355 nt
Filed under: uncultured fungus
Lineage: Eukaryota; Fungi
Description: eukaryotic LSU rRNA
Rfam family: 5.8S ribosomal RNA (bases 1-128)
Source: RNAcentral